This 172-nucleotide ribosomal RNA is filed under the name uncultured bacterium. RNAcentral describes it as "partial 16S ribosomal RNA". It matches the Rfam family "Bacterial small subunit ribosomal RNA", at positions 360 to 524 of the family's 1533-position model. The record is from RNAcentral.
AAUAUUGGACAAUGGGCGAAAGCCUGAUCCAGCCAUGCCGCGUGUGUGAAGAAGGUCUUCGGAUUGUAAAGCACUUUAAGUUGGGAGGAAGGGCAUUAACCUAAUACGUUAGUGUUUUGACGUUACCGACAGAAUAAGCACCGGCUAACUUCGUGCCAGCAGCCGCGGUAAU